GGGCGCUUAGCUCAGCUGGUUAGAGCACUGCCCUUACAAGGCAGGGGUCACAGGUUCGAACCCUGUAGCGCCCACCA
RNAcentral lists this transfer RNA (77 nucleotides) under Candidatus Firestonebacteria bacterium RIFOXYA2_FULL_40_8. Its description in RNAcentral is "tRNA-Val". It matches the Rfam family "tRNA". Rfam says of the family: Transfer RNA (tRNA) molecules are approximately 80 nucleotides in length. Their secondary structure includes four short double-helical elements and three loops (D, anti-codon, and T loops). The record is from RNAcentral. Lineage: Bacteria; Candidatus Firestoneibacteriota.